CCUGUGUGUGAAUGCAGGUCUAUAUUUUUGCAGAGUUAUGUGCAAACAGUCAGAUGCACACAGUUAUACAUAUACACUGUCAAAUCCACCACAUGCACACAGUCGCAGGUAGAUAGUCACAUACACAGGUUCAGGCAGAAACAUACAUACUUACAUGCAGACAGCCAUACACACACACACACACAGGAAGACACGCAGACAGCCACACACACAGGAAGACACGCAGACAGCCAUACACACACACACACACACAGGAAGACACGCAGACAGCCACACACACACACACACACACACGGGAAGACACACACUCUCUGAAACUUCUAUGUUUUUAGCUGCAGGGUUAAAACUAGAGGGACCUGGCACCCAGUCCACUUCAUUGAGCUGAAGUGGUCUGGGUGCCUAUAGUGGUCCUUAAAUUACGGGUAGCAGUGUCACCAAAGUGGUUGACAUCCCUAAUAUGACUUAAUGUGGUAUGUGACAAUCUACUUUGAGAAUGCACGCAGGGCAGAUAUUGGUGAUAAAAAUAACAGGGAGGACUGACGUUGUGGCAUCAAAGUCAGACCAGAAUUUCCCUUGCAGCUACUUCGGCCGGAUCUGCCUGUCCUGCAUUGGCCUUGUCAGACACCAGAGUAUCUUCAGCAGACGUGGACAGCCCGAUUCUUAAAUCUUCAUUUAAGAAUUCAAACCAAACAGUCUCUGAACUGACUUUUUUUGUACUUUUAAUUACACCCUAAUAAUGCUCAAACAUGAUAGAAAUGCUUCAAACUAUAU
This is a non-coding RNA of Pelobates cultripes (western spadefoot toad), 771 nucleotides long. The record is from the annotation of a GenBank genome assembly. Lineage: Eukaryota; Metazoa; Chordata; Amphibia; Anura; Pelobatidae.